Molecule: unclassified non-coding RNA, 292 nt
Filed under: uncultured fungus
Lineage: Eukaryota; Fungi
Description: sequence contains ITS2
Source: RNAcentral
AACGCAUAUUGCGCUCUCUGGUAUUCCGGGGAGCAUGCCUGUUUCAGCAUCAUUGGAACAUCUCAAAAUCGUUUUUUGAUUUUGGACGCUGGGCCUUGUUGAGUGUUUUUACCCAACUGGCCUGAAAUUGUGUAAUAAAUAAUACAAGAAAUUGUGUGGAUGUCUUGUUGCUUAAGACGAAAAGCUAAUUAGUUGACUAUGGUCAAACUUUGCUGACUAGUCUUUCAUAACUUGCAAAUCCUAACACUCACAAAUUGAUCUGAAAUCAGGUAGGAUUACCCGCUGAACUUAA